This 507-nucleotide ribosomal RNA is filed under the name uncultured Campylobacterota bacterium. Its description in RNAcentral is "bacterial SSU rRNA". It matches the Rfam family "Bacterial small subunit ribosomal RNA", at positions 342 to 856 of the family's 1533-position model. The record is from RNAcentral. Lineage: Bacteria; Pseudomonadati; Campylobacterota.
CGGGAGGCAGCCUUGGGGAAAUAUUCCACAAUGGAGGAAAUUCCUAAUGCAGAAACGCCCGGCGUGGAGGAAGAACGCAUUUCGGGGGGAAAACCCCUUUUUUAUAGGGAAAAGAUAAUGACGGUACAAUAUGAAAUAAGCACCGGCUAACUCCGUGCCAGCAGCCCGCGGUAAUACGGAGGGUGCAAGCGUUACUCGGAAUCACUGGGCGUAAAGCGCGCGCAGGCGGCCUUUUAAGUUGGAUGUGAAAGCCUAUGGCUCAACCAUAGAACUGCAUCCAAAACUAUCAGGCUAGAGUGUGGGAGAGGAAGAUGGAAUUAGUUGUGUAGGGGUAAAAUCCGUAGAGAUAACUAGGAAUACCAAAAGCGAAGGCAAUCUUCUGGAACAUUACUGACGCUGAGGCGCGAAAGCGUGGGGAGCAAACAGGAUUAGAUACCCUGGUAGUCCACGCCCUAAACGAUGAAUGUUAGUCGUCGGGUAGCUAGUCUAUUCGGUGAUGCAGCUAAC